AUUGAACGCUGGCGGCAGGCCUAACACAUGCAAGUCGAGCGGAUGAAGGGAGCUUGCUCCUGGAUUCAGCGGCGGACGGGUGAGUAAUGCCUAGGAAUCUGCCUGGUAGUGGGGGAUAAUGUCCGGAAACGGGCGCUAAUACCGCAUACGUCCUGAGGGAGAAAGUGGGGGAUCUUCGGACCUCACGCUAUCAGAUGAGCCUAGGUCGGAUUAGCUAGUUGGUGGUGUAAAGGCCUACCAAGGCGACGAUCCGUAACUGGUCUGAGUGGAUGAUCAGUCACACGGGAACUGGGACACGGUCCAGAGUCCUACGGGACGCAGCAGUGGGGAAUGGUGGACAAUGGGCGGGAAUCUUGUCCAGCGAGGGCGCGUGUGAGGAGGAGGUCUUCGGAUUGUAAAGCACGCUAAGUGGGGGGGAAGGGCAGUAAGUUGAUACCUUGCUGUUUUGACGUUACCGACAAAAUAAGCACCGGCUAACUUCGUG
Molecule: ribosomal RNA, 484 nt
Filed under: uncultured bacterium
Lineage: Bacteria
Description: partial 16S ribosomal RNA
Rfam family: Bacterial small subunit ribosomal RNA
Source: RNAcentral